This 869-nucleotide long non-coding RNA is filed under the name Homo sapiens (human). Its description in RNAcentral is "TSHR antisense RNA 1". Lineage: Eukaryota; Metazoa; Chordata; Mammalia; Primates; Hominidae. The record is from RNAcentral.
AAUUCCAUCAUCUCUGUCAUUCUGUGUCUGCUGCUACUAACUCAUUUUUCUGUUUGUUCUGGAUCAUAUUUCCUGCCCUUCUCCCUGAUUAUGGAAGUAAAAACAUGGCCACCAAUUUCCCUCUUUGGGAAUCUGGGCUGGCUUUGAUCAUUUGCUUGAUUAUAGAAUGUGGCAGAAGUGUGUUCUGAAAUUUUGAGGUUACAUUAGAGGAAGCCUUGCAGCAAAGUUCCACCUGAGACUAGCAUUCAGCCAUCCUUAUCAAGGCAGCAGACAAGUGAAUAAUGCCAUCUUGGACUCUCCAGAAAAGCCCAUUUGUCAUCUGAAUACCAUGCAAUACUGUAAACCUUGAAUAACACCAUGGGAUCUAUACAAAGUGCCAUUAGUGUUGCUGAAAGUGCUCCCAAGAAGCAGAGAAAAAUCAUGACAGGAAAAAGUUGAACUGCUUGAUGUUUACCAUAGAUGGAGGUCUGCAGCUGCGAUUGCCUGCCAUUUCAAGAUAAAUGAAUCUAGUGCAAGGCCCAUUGUUAAAAAAGAAAGAAAAUUCAUGAGGCUGUCACUGCAGCUACACCAGCAGAUACAAAUUUCCCACCAUUCUGGAUUCUGACACCCAACAGAAAGACUGUUAUUUGGCAUCAUGUGAAUUAGCCAGGAGACCUCUAAUUUCCAGCCAUUUCCUCUGGUCUGACCCCUAAACUCAGCUCAUCUGGUUUCUCGUUUCUGAGGGGACAAACACUUCCUAAAAGGCAGACCCUCUGGGGUUCUGAGGAGACCGUCCCUGACAUUGUUUUUACUUCAAGACUACAAGCGAAUGAAAAACAGCUACCUCUCACAAGAGGGCUGGAGCCCUUGAUACAGAACAGAUCUCCAAC